RNAcentral lists this ribosomal RNA (497 nucleotides) under uncultured bacterium. RNAcentral's name for it is "partial 16S ribosomal RNA". It matches the Rfam family "Bacterial small subunit ribosomal RNA", at positions 28 to 507 of the family's 1533-position model. The record is from RNAcentral.
GAUGAACGCUGGCGGCGUGCCUAAUACAUGCAAGUCGAGCGAACAGACGAGGAGCUUGCUCCUCUGACGUUAGCGGCGGACGGGUGAGUAACACGUGGAUAACCUACCUAUAAGACUGGGAUAACUUCGGGAAACCGGAGCUAAUACCGGAUAAUAUAUUGAACCGCAUGGUUCAAUAGUGAAAGGCGGUUUUGCUGUCACUUAUAGAUGGAUCCGCGCCGCAUUAGCUAGUUGGUAAGGUAACGGCUUACCAAGGCGACGAUGCGUAGCCGACCUGAGAGGGUGAUCGGCCACACUGGAACUGAGACACGGUCCAGACUCCUACGGGAGGCAGCAGUAGGGAAUCUGCCGCAAAGGGCGAAAGCCUGACGGAGCAACGCCGCGUGAGUGAUGAAGGUCUUCGGAUCGUAAAACUCUGUUAUUAGGGAAGAACAAAUGUGUAAGUAACUAUGCACGUCUUGACGGUACCUAAUCAGAAAGCCACGGCUAACUACGUG